AAUACGAAGGGACCUAGCGUAGUUCGGAAUUACUGGGCUUAAAGAGUUCGUAGGUGGUUGAAAAAGUUAGUGGUGAAAUCCCAGAGCUUAACUCUGGAACUGCCAUUAAAACUUUUCAGCUAGAGUAUGAUAGAGGAAAGCAGAAUUUCUAGUGUAGAGGUGAAAUUCGUAGAUAUUAGAAAGAAUACCAAUUGCGAAGGCAGCUUUCUGGAUCAUUACUGACACUGAGGAACGAAAGCAUGGGUAGCGAAGAGGAUUAGAUACCCUCGUAGUCCAUGCCGUAAACGAUGUGUGUUAGACGUUGGAAAUUUAUUUUCAGUGUCGCAGCGAAAGCGAUAAACACACCGCCUGGGGAGUACGACCGCAAGGUUAAAACUCAAAUGAAUUGACGGGGACCCGCACAAGUAGUGGAGCAUGUGGUUUAAUUCGAAGAUACGCGCAGAACCUUACCAACACUUGACAUGUUCGUCGCGACUUUAAGAGAUUAAAGUUUUCGGUUCGGCCGGACGAAACACAGGUGCUGCAUGGCUGUCGUCAGCUCGUGUCGUGAGAUGUUGGGUUAAGUCCCGCAACGAGCGCAACCCUCACUUUUAGUUGCCAUCAUUUAGUUGGGCACUCUGAAAGAACUGCCAGUGAUAAGCUGGAGGAAGGUGGGGAUGACGUCAAGUCCUCAUGGCCCUUACGUGUUGGGCUACACACGUGCUACAAUGGUAUUUACAACAGGAAGCAAGACGGCGACGUUAAGCAAAUCCUUAAAAAAUACCUCAGUUCGGAUUGCACUCUGCAACUCGAGUGCAUGAAGCUGGAAUUACUAGUAAUCGUGGAUCAGCGUGCCACGGUGAAUGCGUUCCCGGGUCUUGUACACACCGCCCGUCACACCAUGGGAGUUGGUUCUACCUUAAGGCAAGGUUUAAAACCCUUGACUACGGUAUAGUCAGC
This 939-nucleotide ribosomal RNA is filed under the name uncultured bacterium. Its description in RNAcentral is "bacterial SSU rRNA". It matches the Rfam family "Bacterial small subunit ribosomal RNA", at positions 522 to 1472 of the family's 1533-position model. The record is from RNAcentral.